This 253-nucleotide ribosomal RNA is filed under the name uncultured bacterium. Its description in RNAcentral is "partial 16S ribosomal RNA". It matches the Rfam family "Bacterial small subunit ribosomal RNA", at positions 524 to 776 of the family's 1533-position model. The record is from RNAcentral.
UACGUAGGGUGCAAGCGUUGUCCGGAAUUAUUGGGCGUAAAGAGCUCGUAGGCGGUUUGUCGCGUCGGGAGUGAGAUCCACUGGCUUAACUGGUGGCUUGCUUUCGAUACGGGCAGACUGGAGGUAUGCAGGGGAGAACGGAAUUCCUGGUGUAGCGGUGAAAUGCGCAGAUAUCAGGAGGAACACCGGUGGCGAAGGCGGUUCUCUGGGCAUGUCCUGACGCUGAGGAGCGAAAGUGUGGGGAGCGAACAGG